Non-coding RNA from Pelobates cultripes (western spadefoot toad), 241 nucleotides. The record is from the annotation of a GenBank genome assembly. NCBI's taxonomy places the organism in Eukaryota, Metazoa, Chordata, Amphibia, Anura, Pelobatidae.
CUAAAAUAUAGUUCUAAAAAGUUACAGUAAAAUCCUGAAGAUUCUUGCACUAAAAUAUCCAGACAAUCAAAUCAAAAAGCUGUGCAAACUUAUAGAACAAACAGAUCGUAAAUACAGUAAUCCUGGGUAUCUUAACCGCAGUUUUAUCAGCACAGCAGUAAUACAGUCCGUGAGAGAUGUAUAAGAAUGUAGCUAAGGAUACAGUUUAUCUUGUGUACCACGUAUCCCUGCAAAAUGUAAC